This 890-nucleotide ribosomal RNA is filed under the name Collybiopsis confluens. RNAcentral's name for it is "partial large subunit ribosomal RNA". It matches the Rfam family "Eukaryotic large subunit ribosomal RNA", at positions 67 to 942 of the family's 3401-position model. Lineage: Eukaryota; Fungi; Basidiomycota; Agaricomycetes; Agaricales; Omphalotaceae. The record is from RNAcentral.
AACAAGGAUUCCCCUAGUAACUGCGAGUGAAGAGGGAAAAGCUCAAAUUUAAAAUCUGGCAGUCUUUGAUUGUCCGAGUUGUAAUUUAGAGAAGUGUUACCCGUGUUGGGCCGUGUAUAAGUCUCCUGGAAUGGAGCGUCAUAGAGGGUGAGAAUCCCGUCUUUGACACGGACUUCCAAUACAUUGUGGUACGCUCUCGAAGAGUCGAGUUGUUUGGGAAUGCAGCUCUAAAUGGGUGGUAAAUUCCAUCUAAAGCUAAAUAUUGGGGAGAGACCGAUAGCGAACAAGUACCGUGAGGGAAAGAUGAAAAGAACUUUGGAAAGAGAGUUAAAUAGUACGUGAAAUUGCUGAAAGGGAAACGCUUGAAGUCAGUCGCGUUAGUUUUGGGAUCAGCCUUCCUUUUGGUUGGUGUAUUUCCUUACUGACGGGUCAGCAUCAGUUUUGAUCAGUGGAUAAGGACUUGAGGAAUGUGGCAUCUUCGGGUGUGUUAUAGCCUCUUGUUGUAUACAUUGAUUGGGACUGAGGAACUCAGCACGCCGCAAGGCCGGGUUUUUAACCACGUACGUGCUUAGGAUGCUGGCAUAAUGGCUUUAAUCGACCCGUCUUGAAACACGGACCAAGGAGUCUAACAUGCCUGCGAGUGUUUGGGUGGAAAACUCGGACGCGUAAUGAAAGUGAAAGUUAGGAUCUCUGUCGUGGAGAGCACUGACGCCCGGCCCAGAGCUUUUGUGACGGUGCUGCGGUUGAGCAUGUAUGUUGGGACCCGAAAGAUGGUGAACUAUGCCUGAAUAGGGUGAAGCCAGAGGAAACUCUGGUGGAGGCUCGUAGCGAUUCUGACGUGCAAAUCGAUCGUCGAAUUUGGGCAUAGGGGCGAAAGACUAAUCGAACCA